This 326-nucleotide ribosomal RNA is filed under the name uncultured Anaerolineaceae bacterium. Its description in RNAcentral is "bacterial SSU rRNA". It matches the Rfam family "Bacterial small subunit ribosomal RNA", at positions 1047 to 1382 of the family's 1533-position model. The record is from RNAcentral. Lineage: Bacteria; Bacillati; Chloroflexota; Anaerolineae; Anaerolineales; Anaerolineaceae.
GGCUGUCGUCAGCUCGUGUCGUGAGAUGUUCGGUUAAGUCCGCUAACGAGCGCAACCCUCGCCUGUGUGUUACAAGUGUCACACGGGAACCUGCCGGUCAUAAACCGGAGGAAGGUGGGGAUGACGUCAAGUCAGCAUGGCCUUUAUAUCCUGGGCUACACACACGCUACAAUGGGAAGGGACAAUAGGUUGCGAAGCCGCGAGGCGGAGCCAAUCCAGCAAAACUUCCCUCAGUUCAGAUUGCAGGCUGCAACUCGCCUGCAUGAAGUUGGAGUUGCUAGUAAACGCAGGUCAGCCAUACUGCGUUGAAUACGUUCCCGGGGCUU